This 465-nucleotide ribosomal RNA is filed under the name Vreelandella stevensii. RNAcentral describes it as "partial 16S ribosomal RNA". It matches the Rfam family "Bacterial small subunit ribosomal RNA", at positions 338 to 795 of the family's 1533-position model. Lineage: Bacteria; Pseudomonadati; Pseudomonadota; Gammaproteobacteria; Oceanospirillales; Halomonadaceae. The record is from RNAcentral.
CCUACGGGUGGCUACAGUGGGGAAUAUUGGACAAUGGGCGAAAGCCUGAUCCAGCCAUGCCGCGUGUGUGAAGAAGGCCUUCGGGUUGUAAAGCACUUUCAGUGGGGAAGAAAGCCUUGGGGCUAAUACCCUCGAGGAAGGACAUCACCCACAGAAGAAGCACCGGCUAACUCCGUGCCAGCAGCCGCGUUAAUACGGAGGGUGCGAGCGUUAAUCGGAAUUACUGGGCGUAAAGCGCGCGUAGGCGGUCUGAUAAGCCGGUUGUGAAAGCCCCGGGCUCAACCUGGGAACGGCAUCCGGAACUGUCAGGCUAGAGUGCAGGAGAGGAAGGUAGAAUUCCCGGUGUAGCGGUGAAAUGCGUAGAGAUCGGGAGGAAUACCAGUGGCGAAGGCGGCCUUCUGGACUGACACUGACGCUGAGGUGCGAAAGCGUGGGUAGCAAACAGGAUUAGCUACCCCAGUAGUC